RNAcentral lists this long non-coding RNA (38994 nucleotides) under Arabidopsis lyrata. Its description in RNAcentral is "long non-coding RNA (ALYR_LNC000626)". Lineage: Eukaryota; Viridiplantae; Streptophyta; Magnoliopsida; Brassicales; Brassicaceae. The record is from RNAcentral.
UUUUUUUUUUUUUUUUUAAAUGUAGUUUACUUUACAUGGUUGUUAUAUAGAGAAAUUGUUAAAAAUGCCCCUUUUUCAAUACUCCUUUUCAAAAAUGCCCCUUUUGAGAGUCUAUUUUUAAGUUUGCCCUCUUUUAAUUUUUAAUGACCAUUUUACCCUUAUUUGAAACAAAAUUAGGUCCACAAAAUACAAAAUAUUUUUUGGCGGGAAAAGUGAUCCUGCAAUUCCCGCCAAAACACAUCUUAAAACGCUUGUAAAAUUUUCCCGUAAAAAUNNNNNNNNNNNNNNNNNNNNNNNNNNNNNNNNNNNNNNNNNNNNNNNNNNNNNNNNNNNNNNNNNNNNNNNNNNNNNNNNNNNNNNNNNNNNNNNNNNNNAAAUUUUUUUGGCGGGAAAAAUUUACAAGGUAUUUUAAAGGUUUUACGGAGUAUUUACAAGUGUUUUGUAAGGUUUUACAAUGUAUUUUAAAAGGUUUUACAAGGUACUUAUAAGGUUUUAUAAGGUAUUUAUAACUUGUAAAACCUUAUAAAAAACUUGUAAAACCUUAUAACUUGUAAAACCUUAUAACUUGUAAAACCUUAUAAAAUAGCUUGUAAAAUCUUAUAAUAUCUUAUAAAUACUUUAUAAAUACGUUGUAAAACCUUUGAAAAUGCAUUGUAAAACCUUAUAAAUACCUUGUAAAAGACCCUUUAAAAAACCUUGUAAAUUUUUCCCGCCAAAAAUUUAACGCCAAAAAAUUUGCGGAAUCACUUUUCCCGCAAAAAAAAUUUUUGGCGGGAAAAUUUUUUGGCGGGAAAAAAUUUUACGGGAAAAUUUUACAAGGUAUUUUAAAGGUUUUACAAAUUUUUACAAGUGUUUUGGCAGGAAAAAUUGGGGGAUCACUUUUCCCGCCAAAAAAUAUUUUGUAUUUUGUGGACCUAAUUUUGUUAUAUUUCAUUAUAUAUUUAUGAUAUCUUUUAUUAAAAGAAGGGUAAUUUAGUCAUUUUGUACAUAAAAGGGGUAUUUUUAAAAAUGGACAUCCAAAGAGGGCAUUUUUGAAAAGAGGUAUUGAAAAAGAGGCAUUUUUGUGAGUCUCCCUAUUUUUUAUUUAUUAUUAUUAUUAUUUUUUUUUGUCAAAGACAUGAUUGUUAUUUAACAUGGGAUAUUGUGUCCUUUUGUGUGGUGGAUUAUUCAAACCAACAUUAGCCUCCAUCAAACCAACCAUUCAGAGUUGUAUCAAAUUUGCUAUUGUUAAUUUGCUGCAUAUAUUUAUCUGAAAUUCUUCAGAAAAACACAUAAAUUACAAACUCAUGCGUGUGCUUCUCAUUUCUGAUUUGGUUUUAAGUUUAUAAACAAAUUCACCCUCAUUACCAAAAUUGUUUUGACUUUAGAAAAAUCAUUAAAAAAGACCAUCAUCCGUCAACGAUGAUUACUUAGACAUAUAGCCACGGAUUUUGAACUAUGGCCACUCAUUUUCUUCAUGGCUAAUUGGCUAUACAAAUUUCGUUUAAUAGCUGUUAUUACAAUUGUUUUUAAUUAAAACGAUGAUAAUUUUUAAAACUAUCUAAUCAGAAUCAGAUAGAUGAACGACUAGUACUAGUUGAGAAAUAUAUAAAAUAAUUAGUGUAAUUCGGUAAUGAAACAAAUAUUUUUGGGUUAAAUCCUAAUUCCAACCAUCUCCUUGUUGGGUUAAAAUAUAAAUUAAUAAGAAAUUUAGUGCAAUUCGUAAUAAAACAAUUUUUUAGUGGGUUAAAUCCAAAUAAAAACGAGUGGUUGGAAAGUAAACGCAAAUAUUUUCUUAUUUUUUCUUCUUCUCCAAUCUGGCAAACAAAUCUCACUCUCAAUCAAAACACACAUCAAAAUCAAAACCUUCUCUUCUUCUUCUUGCGAGUUGCACCGAAACACUCAACAAAACCAAACCAUCCAAAUUUGGUAAAAUAAAAGAAACCCAAAAGAAGAAGAAGAAGAAGAUCGAAUUCAAGAAGAGAGAUGGAGAAUGGAGCAACGACGAGUACAAUUACCAUCAAAGGGAUUCUGAGUUUGCUUAUGGAAAGUAUCUCAGAAGAUGAAGAAGGGAAGCGAGUAGUAUCUCUGGGAAUGGGAGACCCAACACUAUACUCUUGUUUUCGUACAACACAAGUCUCUCUUCAAGCUGUCUCUGAUUCUCUUCUCUCCAACAAGUUCCAUGGUUAUUCUCCUACCGUCGGUCUUCCCCAAGCUCGAAGGUCAGUUUCGUCUUUUCCCUUAUCUCUCUCUCAGUUAGGGAUGCCAAAUUCGGUUCGUUUAACUCAACCGAUUGGAUGAUUAAACCGAAUUUUAAUUAGGAUGAUUUGAUAAUUAGGUUUGUUUUGAACCUUCUGAUUGAAACGGAAUGUUUCAUUUUCAAUAUAUAUUUGUGAGAGUAUAAAAAGACUUAACUUGCAAAUCAAGUCUCACACUUUUGUGUAAGAAUGAAACAGGGCAAUUGCAGAGUAUCUAUCGCGUGAUCUUCCAUACAAAUUGUCACUGGAUGAUGUGUUUAUCACAUCAGGUUGUACGCAAGCAAUCGAUGUAGCAUUGUCAAUGUUGGCUCGUCCUAGGGCCAAUAUUCUGCUUCCAAGGCCUGGUUUCCCAAUCUAUGAACUCUGUGCUAAGUUUAGACACCUUGAGGUUCGUUACGUUGAUCUUCUUCCAGAAAACGGAUGGGAGAUCGAUCUUGAUGCUGUCGAGUCUCUUGCAGACGAAAAUACGGUUGCUUUGGUUGUUAUAAACCCCGGUAAUCCUUGUGGGAAUGUCUAUAGUUAUCAGCAUUUGAUGAAGGUUAGCUUUAAACUUUGACAUGAGGAAACAGAACCAAUGUUGUUGUUUGGAAGUUGAUGUAUACAAAUUUGUGUUUUUAGAUUGCGGAAACGGCGAAAAAAUUAGGGUUUCUUGUGAUUGCUGAUGAAGUUUAUGGUCAUCUCGCUUUCGGGAGCAAACCGUUUGUGCCAAUGGGUGUGUUUGGAUCUAUUGUUCCUGUGCUUACUCUUGGCUCUUUAUCAAAGAGAUGGAUAGUUCCUGGUUGGCGGCUCGGGUGGUUUGUGACCACUGAUCCUUCUGGUUCGUUUAAGGACCCUAAGGUUAGUAAUAGCUUCGAUCUUUUUAAAAAAAAUUGAUGAUGCAAGAGCGCAAAUAAACCGUAUACUUACUGAAAUCUUGUUUUGUUCAUUUGGAUCAGAUCAUCGAGCGGUUUAAGAAAUACUUUGAUAUUCUUGGUGGACCAGCUACAUUUAUUCAGGUAUAUAUAUGUCACUUAUAUUCAAAUUCAACUUCUAUUGUUUAUGAUUAUCUUAAGACAUUAAUUUUGUUCUUGAUUGUGUUGCAUUAGGCUGCAGUACCCACGAUUUUGGAACAGACGGAUGAGUCUUUCUUCAAGAAAACCUUGAACUCGUUGAAAAACUCUUCGGAUAUUUGUUGUGACUGGAUCAAGGAGAUUCCUUGCAUUGAUUCCACGCAUCGACCAGAAGGAUCCAUGGCAAUGAUGGUGAGCAUCUAUAUAUAUAUAUAUAUAUAUAUAUAUAUAUAUAUUGUGAAAAAUGUUCACAAAUUGUUACACAUCUAUUGUCUUAGAUAUUUGAUUUCUGUAAUUUCGUUCAGGUGAAGCUGAAUCUCUCAAUACUCGAAGAUGUAAGCGACGAUAUCGACUUCUGUUUCAAGUUAGCUAGAGAAGAAUCAGUCAUCCUUCUUCCCGGUAAGGAUAUUAUUUCAACCUCUUAAGAUGAAUUAUACAUUAAUCAAUAGUAAUAUUGUUUUGAUACAUUCCUUGUGUGUGGAUGGAUGCGGCUGAACAGGGACCGCGGUGGGGCUGAAGAACUGGCUGAGGAUAACGUUUGCGGCAGAUGCACCUUCGAUCGAAGAAGCUUUUAAAAGGAUCAAAUGUUUCUAUCUUAGACAUGCCAAGACUCAAUAUCCAACCUUAUAGUUGAUUUCUGAUUUUGGUAUGGUCAUAAAUUAUAUGCUCAAAAACACAGAUACAGUAUACUAGUAUAGUGUUUUUUUUUCUCCGUAUAUGUGUUGAUAUAAUAUAUCUUCAUUGUAAUAACUAAUAAGAUUAACUCUUAAUUAAAAACAUCAACUAAGGAGCCGAAUGGGACCUAACCGAAUAAACAGAAAAAUGUCAACUUGAAAUGAAAUAUGUGGUUCUUAAAAGAGAUUUAAAACUUUAUGUAACUUGAGUUUUGAUCUUGAAACUUCGUGUAGCACUAGUCUAAGAUCAUAGUCUUCAUAGUGGUACCCUGAGUCCCUGAUGAUAGGCAAGUAUGAGCCCAAUCUUUUGGACACAGCAGAAUUAGUCUAGGCCCAAUAUAUUUGGUCGUAAUUGGUAAAAGAUUGUUUGUCUACAAAACAACAGAGCGUAUCUAAAAUGGGAUAUAAAGUGCUUAAAGAUUCUGAUAUGCAAAUUCCAAAUUUGAAAAUGAAAGAACUCGUAAAUCAAGAUGCAUUGUCCCAAAGAGAACAAAAAAGAGUUCAUACUUUAUUUAAUUUUUUUUGCUUAAAUGAUAAUGCUAUUAAAUUUAAGUAGGUACGAUACGACCAACCCACGUGAAGACAUGCAUGUAUUUGAGAAAAAUACUUGUUAAUCAACUACUUAUUUUAAUUAAUUAAUCAGAAUAAUUUAUUUUCUCUUAGUCCCAAUUCAUUCUUUUGAAUAGUACAGUGGGUCCAUAAAGAACAGUUAAGUGGGCUUUUUGGCCCCAUAGCUUUGAUUCCCAAAUGACCCCUUCUAAAUAAACCGACUCUUGUGUUAUUCUCUCUAUCCAUAUUGACAAAAUAUUUCUUACUAGAGUUGAAUAAGAUUAUAUGUAUAGGCAUAUAGGGAAUCAGAAUGAAUUUGAUUGUUCUAAGGUAAGUUUAGAGAUUUUAGAACUAUCACUACUUGGUGAAUUACAUUUUGUUUUGAAAGUAAUACAUGAUUUGUAUGUUUUAAUAGUUUUAGUGUCAGAUAAACACUACAGUUUUCAGAGAAAACUUAAAAUCCACUUCGUUAUACAUGCAUCGAAAGUCUUUAAAUUUACAUAAAGUUUUUGCUCUGAAAUUCAAAUGUGGUUUCUCGUUUUACUAUGAAUAUCUGUUCUAUCAAUGUAUUAGUAACUUUGACAAUAUGAGUUAUGUUUUUGUAUAGAGUAUUUUUACCUAGAUGACAUGAUAUUUAAUGUCUUUGUAUAUAUGUUCUAUAUUAUAUGUUAAACUUAUAACCCAAAAAACUAAUCUUAGUAAUGUUGUUAUGAAUACAAAGUUUGAGUUAAUUUGUUUGCUUAUCUUUUACAUAGAACAUCACCAGUGUUUAAGUAUGAGUGCGUGUGUGUAUAUAAAUACAUCCUUAGCCACAACGUUGUACAUAACACAACAAAGAAAAAGAAAGUGAAGAGAAAAAUGGAGAAUUCUCAGAGUCAGAGUAAAAACAAGAAGAAGAGGCUAACACAAGAGCAAGUAAGACAACUGGAGAAGUGCUUCACUGUUAACAAGAAGCUUGAGCCAGAUCUGAAGCUUCAACUGUCGAACCAGCUUGGUCUACCUCAGAGACAAGUUGCAGUCUGGUUCCAAAACAAGCGAGCCAGGUCCAAGACUCAGUCUCUCGAGGUCCAACACUGCACUCUUCAGUCCAAGCUCGAAGCAGCUCUCUCCGACAAAGCAAAGUUAGAGCAUCAAGUGCAGUUUCUUCAAGAUGAGGUGAAGAGAACGAGGAAUCAGCUUGCUCUGUUCACAAAUCAAGAUUCUCCUGUAAAUAACUCUAAUCUUGGUUCUUGUGAUGAAGGUCAUGAUGAUCAAGUGGUGGUAUUCGACGAGCUUUACGCUUGUUUUGUUAGCAAUGGACAUGGAUCUUCAUCAACCUCAUGGGUCUGAUUCUGUUUCUACAUAGACAAGAUUCCAAUAUUUAAUCUUCUCUCUGUUUUGUUUCGUUUGAUUGGUUUCUCUUUGUCUGGAUAGAUUUACAAUCUGUAAUUAAAGUCAUUCAGACAUUCCACUAAUACAAAGAGAGGAAUUUUCUUCAUUUCUUGUUAUGGUUAUAAGAAUAUAAGAGAAUUGGAAUCAGGAUUUGCAAUGUUGUAACAACACAAGCUAAGAAACCAACAACUACUUCAUGGUCUAGUUUCAUCUUACCUUGUUGAUCACACCAAGUAUUUUCAUUCAAUAUUUAGUAUCAUGUACUAGAUUCUGCAAUGAUUCAUUAAUCUAGUGUUAAAAGAACUUGAUCAUCCAAAUAUAAGCAAGACUAUUUGACAAUCACUUGCCAGAGAAUUAUGAAUCCGCAAUGAUUCACAAAGCAGCCUAUUGCUGGAUGAGCAAAUAUCAAUGGUUCACAAAGCAUCCGCCCUACUGAUGGAUAAGCCAAUAUCAGCCUUUGCUGCAUCUAUCCUCUGCCCUACAACAAACGUUUAACAUGUAAGCUGAACGUUUAACAUGUAAGCUUCAUUCCUAAACAGAGUUCUUGAAGUUGAUCCUUCUUGUAUGUGAUGUGGAUUCAUUGUGAACAAUAUUAUAUAUCAAUGACUCCGGUUCAAAUUGAGCCGGCCAUGGGGCCAAGCAGGCCAAGCAUGCACUUGCGUCCUUCGCAAAAUUAUGGGCCAUUAAUGUAGUGUGUUACAAAAAAUAGAAAGGACUUGUUUAAUAGUGCUGGGAUUCGGCCCCAGACCCCAUCUAAUCUCCCCCUCUACAAAUAACCAUUACACUAAAGUGACUUUUUGGUAGUUUUACGUUUUUGUGAAGUUUAUAGAGAUCACAACUUUUUUUUUUUGGUUCCAAGAUUUACAAGAGCAUUAGGGAUUCUAGAAAACCUUUCUUUGGCAUUAUUAACACCAACAUAUCUUGGUCAAUCCCACGUCUUUAUUUAUGAAAGAAAAGUCGCAUUCUUGCUUUGUUCAUUUGGACCGGAAAAUAUCUCGAAAAUAUCAAGAAAAGUCGCAUUCUUGCUUUCAUUCUUGCUUUAUGAAAGAAAAGUUAACGAGUUGAUGAAUUUAUCAUAGAAAAGUAAAACAUCGAACAAAGACAAAUCUUAUUACAACUUCGAGGUAAAGACAAAACACUAAUAACUACUUCAUGGUCUAGUAGUUUCUUAUUUCGUUAUCUUAUGACAGCUGCUACGUACUUUCUUUAUAAUGAAAUUGUUUCAUUCAAGAUUUGUAUCGUUGACUAGAUCCUGCAAAGUUUCAACAAAUUUAUCGGUGUAAUCGGUUAAUAAUCCAUGACUAACCAAAACCUCCUUCAAUUUAGCGUGGUUCGUCCUCACCAGAUUCCCUAACUCACUAUCUUUGUCCAUUACCAAGGUGAUCGCAACACAUAAGCUCUCUUUCGAGAACCAUCCUGUUUCUUCUCUUUUCACUUCCACAGAAACCUCAAGUUCCUCACUCAUCAAUCUAGUGUUGAGAACUUGAUCACACAAAUAUGGAAGCAAGACUAUUUGGCAAUCACUCACUAGAGACUCCCACAUUGAUCCAAACCCACAAUGAUUCACAAAGCAUCCUACUGAUGGAUGAGCCAAUAUCAAUGGUUGCUGCACCCAUUCUCCCCAAACCACUCCAUGAUUCUUCACCCUCUCCGCAAACCCUUCUGGCAACGCUUCUUGGAUCGUCUUUGCGCCUUUUGGUGGCUUUACCGCUACAAGAAACGGUAAACCAGUGAGCUCCAUUCCUAAACAGAGUUCUUGGAAUUGAUCCUUCUCUAAAGUGAUUUGACUUCCCAAUGCACAAUAUAUUACCGAACCGGGUUCGAAAUGAUUUAGCCAAUGAUCCCAUCGAUCUUCAAGUGGUCUACUGUUGUCUGGCUCUGGAAGCAUUGGACCUGUCAAAAGAACCUUCCUCUGGUAUUGCUUCUCGAUAUAGUCGCAGAAUUUACCUUCAACUUCUUUACAAGUCCUAAUUGAGAUAAAAUCACAAUUCUUUAGACCUGUUGUUAUCCGGUAAUGAAGCCUCUCGUAGAAGAUGGCAAAAGUCAACAAAGCGUGAGCAUCGUGUCCACGGUACAACACUUUUGUCGAAGGAUAACCAGGUGGAGGAACUCCUAGUUCACCACCUGGGACAAGUUCAUGAGCUAUGGAGUUAGCCGAUACCACAAAGUAGAGCACACUCUUGACGUUAUGUUCUCUCGCCAUUUCCGGAACCCAAUAAGCAAAAUCAAAAAAUAUCAGGUCUGGUUUUAAAGCACGAACCGCGGCUUCGACCUGAUCGCGUGUGAGAUCCAUGGCUGCGGUCAGAAACUUCCCCAACGAGAUGGGGAUAUCCGAGGCGGUCUCGGCGCCAUCAGGGAGACCAUCAACAUGAGGAAUAGUAAGAGGAUAAAAGACGAUGCUGUCUGGAAACAGAUUGUGAUGUUCCAACUGUUUUUGAGCUUUCUUAGGCAGCAAGAAAGUAACCCUAUGACCUUUCUCAGCUAGCUUGUUGGCUAGAUGCAAGUACGGAGUCAUAUGACCAUAAGCGAACCAUGGGAACAUAAAAGCGUGAAACUUUUGGCCCAUUUUUCUUUCCUAAAUUGUCGAAACAAGGUGUCAAAGAUAGCCAAAAGAUGAAAAUUUUGCUGUGUUUCAAAUCAUAAGCAUCUUUGUUUUUCUUGCUUCAAAAUUUCUGCAAUUGAGAUAGCCAUUGACUUGGAGGAAUAUGCUUGUUAAAGUCUUUGAAGGGUGUUUUAGGUUUAUUUAUUAGUGAGGGUUGGUGGUUUAGUUGGUGAAGUAGUGGAUUGCAUGUGUCUAAAUGUCAUUUGUUUUUAUUAGAAAAUUUGGCUAAUCUAAACAUUAUUUGUAAUGUCAUGCCUCGAGAAAAUACAAUGCUACGUGUCAAAAAGUCAAAACUCAAAAGUAAUCGAUCUUAUGAAUAUGACAUACCAGGUUUGACGACGAGUGUCAAUCUGAACCAGAUGCAUAUGGCCCUUAUUUCAUUCAUUCGAAUCCGUAAAAGCCCAAAUGUCCUUACAAAAGUAAAACAUGAGAUGAAAAAAAAACAAACACUCAAGGCAGGUUGUUCUUUAACCUUUAAUCUAUCUUUCUUGAUUCUCUUAGGAUCUGACUUCUUGUUAGGAGAGUACUAUCUUAUUCACUAGUAGAUCAACAACUUUAGAAACAAGAUCUAUCAACAAUUUAAACAGACCCAAAUUAUCAAGUUAGAAGCUCUUCAGGCUUAAUAUGUUUUAGCUAGGAAGAUGAACCUCAUAUACCCUCAUGAAGUCAUGGUAUUAUUACAACACAAACACACAUGCAAUCUCACGUUCCAACAAAGAAAGCAAAACAGUCUUCUUUUCAAAGAUCAAGUAACUAAAGAAACAGAUACAUUUUUUAAAACCAGGAGGAGAGUGGAUGUUUUUUCAUUCAGAGAAAUGCAGCUUCGAUCGGUCUUCGACCUUGUUGAUAGUAAUUGAAGAAGUUCUUCUCAGACUUCUUAACUGCUUUGUACAAUCUUGGUCUAGCCUCAGACACAAGCUCAGUUACAGGUUGAAUCUCUUUGUCUUCAUCAGCAUCACAAAACGUUACCACAGAUAUCCUUGCCUUUUCGUUGUUAAGCACCACUCUAUGAACCGGGCUCUUGUAUAUUCCAUUGCUCAUUACCUAAACAUGCAUGAGAGAUUCUGUCAAAUCUACACCAAUCAAUUCAAAUAUCAUAGAUGCAUUUUAUUCACUAUCAUAUACACAUGAAUCAUGAUUGUUACCUCCAUAGUAUCUCCUACAUUGAUCAGAAUUGUAUGAGGGAGGAUUGAAGCUUUAUACCACUUCCCAUCUUUGAGGAACUGAAGUCCAUCCACAUUUUUUCAGGUAGGAUCAUUGUAAAGGCCGAGCCAUCAGAAUGCGGUUUAAUUUAAGCCCAAGAACCUUGUCCGGCCUCGGACAUGGAGGAUACAUGUUGAAUCUUGUCUCCAACGUAGCAUUUUCACCAUGCAUCUCUAGAAAGCAAUUAUCUUCCAACCCCAACGAUCUAGCUAAUGCCUUGAAGAAUUUCUCAACCACUAGCUGUUGCUUCAUAGUGUAUUCAAGUAAAGUUUCCCUAAAGAAACGAUUUUAAGAAUCACAAUCUAAAAGCAGCCCGUCUCUACCCUUAGGCUAGGCAAAUGCCAAGGGUCCAAAAUUAGUUUCAAAAAUUUUCUUAAAUAAAAAGGCCCAAAAUGUUUUUGAAAAAAAAAUUACUAAGAAGUUUUAAUUUUUUUUUGGUUUUGCCAUAUGUCUCAUUAUAGAUUAAGACGGUAGAAACUGAAAUUUUCAUGGUCCUAAGGAUUUUACCUGAAUCCGCUUGGGAUUUUAGGCCAGAACUUAAGCUGUCGUUGAUCUUCAGGAUAAGUAAUGAGGUACAAGCGGUCGACCCAGUCAAGAACUUGAUCAUCAGACAGAAUCAUGUCGUUUCCAAAUCCUUGAAAACUACUAAUCUCUCUUGCGUACUUAUGUUUCUCUUCGGUCGGAAGCACAAAGAACUGCCUCGUUAGCUCGAGAAUCUUGUCGAGAAAGGCUUCUGAAAUUCCAUGAUUCAUCACCUGCUUCAACGAGUUAUCAAGUUUCUACGAUGAAUUUUUGAGACUGUGAUCAUUAAUAAGAGAGUCAAAAACUCAAACCUGAACAACGCCCCAUGUAGAGAUCGCUGAGUGAAGUUUACUCAACUCUUCUCGACCGUCAUCAGAAGAAGAGAGGAGAAGACUAAGAUCGAUGACCAUAAUUUCCAUUUCCGGCAUCGAAACGUUGAAAGGUUGAUCACCUUCUCCGUCGCCUGUUGGGGUGCAGAGGUAUCUUUCCGGUAGUUUUUCUCCGGCUGCAAGCAGCUCUUGGACAGUCUUGAACUUUGGCUUUUCCAUUGUUUCAAAGGAUUUGUUUGAUGAUCUUUUUGGACUAAUUAAAAGAAACUUCGUAAUAAACGUAGAUGUUCUUGAAUUUCUGGCCUGUUUGGUAUUUCCAAACCCAAAGACAACACUAUAUUAAUACGUAACAGGACAAAAAUUGCCGUUUCGUUUACCAAUCUGAAGAGACAAUUUUCAAAACUAAACAAUACUCCUUUAUUUUUUAUUUUUUUUCUUUGUAUAUAUCGAUUGUGGCCAAAUUUAAAGGGACACUUAACAAAAUACUACUAAAAUAUAUUUUUGAAAUUAAGAAAUUACACAAUGUAAAAUUUAGUUUUGAAAGUUUAUAAUUUAUUUAUGAUUUAUGAUUUAGGGUUAGGGUUUUGAUGCCAUCAAAACUAAUUUGAGUAGGUCUCGGCUAUGAGAAAAUCCUGCCGGUGCCAGCUUAGGUCUCGGUUAGGGUUUUGAUGCCAGAAAUGCAGGCGGCCUGACUACUCCCUGAUACUUAGUCGGAAGGCAUUCCAAACUCGGGAUAGGUAGAGUGGUAGCAUGUAAGGGCCUAACCGUUAACACGGUGAACCAGUCCACUAUGUAGCACCUCGAUGCGUUCCUACCAGGGCCGACUAGAUAGCCGAUAGGAUUUAUCAAAAAAUAAAAUAAAUAAAUACUGGCUUUCAAUCCUGCCGGUGCCAGCAGGGAGGAAAUUACUCCGACAGUUUCGUUUUUUUUUUUUUUUAGUUCGACGGUGCGUUGUGUCUUUUUCAAUUUAUGAAGUCGAUGGUCCCUGGUCUUCGGCAAAAAAAAUGCAUAUUUCUAUGAAUUGUUACUAAUUGUGUACUAAUUGUGGCCUCAAUAGAAGCAAUAUAAAAACAAGUAUUUAAGCACCUUUUCUUUUUUUUUUUCGUCUCUGGCUUUGAUUGUUCCGCACUGAAAUACCCUUAUAUGAGCUUGGAGAAUGGUAAGGUGAGUUGGGAGAAUAAUCAGUGGAAUAGGUGAAUCAAUCAAAUUUUUUUUUUCAUCCGAAAUUAAUUAGAACUCAGAAAAGCUAAAUUUGUAAAUGAUUAAAUGAUGAUGUCCUCUUAAGUAGAGUCACAUUCUUUUGUUUUGUUCUGCUUUUUCUUUUUAAGGUGUUUUUGAGUAUUAAUCUUUUUGUGUGUGGGCCAAUUAAGUUAAGAGAUCCAUCCAAUCCGCCGAACCUUAUACCAUAGAAACUGAAAUUUGAGAGAGUAGAGCUUAAAGUAUUUUAUUCAUGUGCUUUCUCUUCUAGACUAGUUUCUGUAAUUCUUCUAUAAACUUAUUGACAUAACCAUUCAUUAGUCCAGUACUAACUAGAGACUCUUUCCAUUUAGCGUGGUUUCUCCUCACUAGGUUCCCUAGCUCGCUAUCUUUGUCCAUCACAGACCUAACCGCGCCGCUCAAGCUCUCCUUUGAAAACCAUCCAGCUUUCUCUCUUUUCACCUCUACCGAGACCUCGAGUUCCUCGCUCAUCAGUCUGGUGUUUAAUAUUUGCUCACCCAAAUGUGGAAUAAACACUAUUUGGCAGUCAUUCACUAUAGCCUCCCACAUUGACCCGAAACCGCAAUGGCUCACAAAGCAGCCUAUUGAUGGAUGAGCCAAUAUCAAUGGUUGCUUCACCCAUCCUCCCCAAACCACUCCACGCCCCUUAACCCGCUCUUCGAACCCUUUCGGUAAGGCUUCUUGGAUCGUCUUUGCGCCUUUUGGUGGUUUUACCGCUACGAGAAAUGGUAAACCAGUGAGCUCCAUUCCUAAACAGAGUUCUUGGAAUUGAUCCUUUUCCAGAAUGAUUUGGCUUCCCAAUGCACAAUAUAUUACUGAUUCUGGUUCGAACUGGCUCAGCCAGAGACGCCAUUGAUCUUCUAGCGGUUUACUGUCUGGAUCAGGAAGCAUUGGACCCGUCAAAAGAACUUCUCUUUGAAAUUGUCUUUCGAUGAAAUCGCAGAAUUUUCCUUCUAUUUCUUGGCAUGUCCUUAUCGAAAUGACAUCACAGUUUUUAAGUCCUAUCAUGAUCCGUUCGUAAAACGUAGUUCCAUCUCCAAACGGAUAGGAGAGGAACGACAAACUGUUGGUUUCUUGUCCACGAAGCAACACCUUCGACGAAGGAUAUCCCGGUGGAGGAAUACCCAAGUCAUCUUGACUACAACCAGGGACGAAUGAGAUAGCUACACAUGCUGCAGAAAUCGUUAUGAAAUUCACACUCUUGGCUCCAUACUCUCUAGCUAUUUCCGGAAUCCAGUGAGCAAAAUCAAAGAAAAUCAUAUCCGGUUGACGUAUUGAAACCGCUUCUUCGACUUGAUUUCGUGUCCGAUCCAUAGCCGAGGCGAGAAAACUCCCUAAGGAGAUCGGGAUAUCCGAGGUUGUCUCCGCGCCAGCAGGGAGGCCAUCGACAGAAGGGAUGGUAAGAGUGUGAAAGACGAUGCAGUGUGGGAAGAGAUUGAGAGGUUCAAGUUGCUUCAAUGCUUUCUUGGGGAGCAAGAAAGUUAUUUUGUGACCUUUCUCAGCUAGUUUGUUAGCCAGAUGCAAAAAUGCAGUCAUGUGACCAAAACCGAACCAUGGAAACAUAAAAGCAUGAAACUUUGACCCCAUUUCUGUUCUUAUGUUCCUCUGUUUUUUUCUUCUUCUAAUCUUGUUCUUAAGGUUCUUUUGUUUCUGUUUAUGAGAAUUCAGUUUCAGAUGCCUAAAGUUUAGGAGAGUACUGGUAUGAAUUGAAUGAUUCGAGUCUGUUACGAAUCCCCCAAAGUUUUAGUUUUGAUAAGUAAUUUUUUUCUAUCUAUUUAAGUUGUUAUAGAAUCUGUCGUUUCCUUUUGUUUUUAAAUUUCCGUAAAUUACUCCCUAAUCUAUGGUGUAAUAAUACAAAAUUAACAGCAAUAAUUGAAUAUACUAUGUAAUUUAGCUUCCGGAAGCUGUAUUCCUCAACUUAUGGAAAUUGCAAAGAUCAUGACAUUCAAGGUUGUUUCUAAUAGUAAUAUGCCAAGUAAAUUGCAAAUGAUUAAUGAAGUUAUGUACUUUCCCUUUUCUUUUCUUAAUAUAAUAUAUCACUAGAUCAUGACACGUACUAUAGUACGGGUUGAAUUUUAUUUACUACAAAAUUUUAUAUAUUAUAUAUUUUAAAAUAAAAUUUUGAUAUAUUAUAAUAGUAACUGAAUUAUUAUUUUUGUAAGUACAUAUAUAUAAUAUUAGAAUGAAUAUAUUUUUGUUUUAUAUAAUACUUAAUUAUGGAUAGUAUUUUCUUAAGAUAUGAAAACAUUAAGUAAUAUUAAUUUUAAAAAAUUAAUAUUUUUUGAACUAUGAGUUAAUUUAUUUUAACAACCACAAAAUGAGAUUGCAUAUAAUUCAAUUAGAUAAAAAAUUAGAAUAAAAAUCAAAAUAUCAUAAAUGAGUUGGAUCUAAAACGUAGAUUAUUUUGAUUUAAUUAAGGAAGUUAGCAAUUAUUUUGAUUUAAUUUAGGAAGUUCUUUUUUCAAUUUGUAAUUGUUUGGUUGUUGAAAUAGAGAUUUUUUGAGCUAAAUACAGAAUUUAGCAAGUAUUCGUAUAAUCAAAUAUGUUAUAAACAUAUUAUGGUAUAUAAUAAUACCAAAUAUAAUCCGUGCGUGGAGUCUGUAUUUUUAUUUUAUAAUCCCAAUGAAAAAAUUACGUGCACAAUCCAUCAUGGCAUCAUUCGUUAUUUUCAAAAUUACUUGCAGAAUUAAAUUUUCAAAUAUUUAGACGUGUCAGACCUUAUUUAACACAUCUCAUCAUAUAAUCUUAGCAUGCUUUCAGUUAUAAGGAUCAUUUCUUAUCAUCAUAUAAUACAUUAUAUUUAAUUUGGUGUCUGCUAUACAUAUUUUAAAUAUAUCUAUUUUAUAAAAUCAAAUUAGUGUAUUUAUUAAAAAAUUUCUUUUUGAUUUAUUAAAUAUUAUGAUAUUCUUUACACUAUUAAAUUAAACUAUUUUUAAAUGUUCCAAAUUAAAAUAUUUUAAAAUUUUUUAUUGUAGGAUAUAAAAUUAUGGAUUUCAAAAAAGAAUUGUAUGAAAUGAAAUAAAAUAUUCAAAUAGUUAUAAUGAUCAUACCAUCAUAUAAUACAAUAUAUUUAACCCGUCGCCUAUUGUAAAUAUUUUAAAAUAUAUUCUUGAUCUAUUAAGUAUUGAUGAUAUUUUUUAAAAAUAUCAAGUAAAACUAUUUUUAAAUGUUUCAAAUUAAAAUAUUUUAAAUUUAUCGUAGUAUAUAAAAUUAUACAUUUCAAAAUCCGUCACUAAGUCAAAAUUUUUAUUGAAAUUUGUUUUUGUUUUAAAAAUAUUUACCAAGUCUGAAUUUUGACCCAUUACAUUUUUUUCUUCAUAGAUUGAAUAAUUUAUAUUCGUUUUUAAAAAUUCGCAUAUGAAGAUAAAAAUCUAUUUUUUUUAUUAUAUGAAUGAUAUGAUGAUUUAUUUGUUUCAGAAAAAUAGAAUCAUAUAAAAAUGAGAGGUGAAGUAUAAUGAUUAAUAACAAAUUAAUAUGAUAAGUUAGAUAUCAAAUUUUAUAUGAUCAUUUUGAUUGGUCAUUUUUUUUAGAAAAACUAAUAAUGUAUUUUUGUUUUUAUAAUUAAAUUAAAAUUAAAAAAAUUGCAUAAAUUAGUUUUUGACUUGUUUAUUUUAUGGGAAAUUGUUAAAAAUGCCCCUUUUGGUGUGCCCCUUUUCAAAAAUACCCCUUUUAGAUGUCCAUUUUCAAAAACACCCUUUUUUAAAUCUAAAAUUUUUAUAAAGUUUUAUUAGGUUGAUAAGGUACUUAUGGAUUGUAACUACUACUUGAAGACUCGAUCCAAGUAUUUAUAAUGUUUUAUAAGGUGUUUUUAAAGGUUUUACAAGUUAUUUUAAAGGAUUUUUAAGGUUUUUCAAAGGUUUUACAAAAUAUUUUAAAGGUUUUUAAAGGUAUUUAAAAUGUAUUUAUAAGAUAUUUAUAAAGUAUUUAUAAGAUUUUAGAUACAUAGAAAUGUAGUUUGUGUAUGUUUUAAUAAUGUUACAUACAUAUUUGGGUAAAUCUUAUAUUUUUAAGAACAUUUUUUAUAAGGUUUUAAAGAAGGGGCAUUUUUGAAAAGUGGCAUUGAAAAAGGGGCAUUUUUGCAAAAACCCCUUAUUUUAAUGAGAUGAAUUAAUUUACUCUUUGAAAUUUUUUCUCUAAUGGCAAUCCUAUGCAAUAUCUUACAAAAUUUAAGGUUAUUUUUUUGGGAGACUCACAAAAAUGCCCCUUUUUCAAUACACCUUUUCAAAAAUGCCCCCUUUAGAUGUUCAUUUUUAAAAAUACCCCUUUUAUGUACAAAAUAACUAAAUUACCCUUCUUUUAAUAAAAGAUAUCAUAAAUAUAUAAGGAAAUAUAACAAAAUUAGGUCCACAAAAUACAAAAUAUUUUUUGGCGGGAAAAGUGAUCCCCCAAUUUUUCCCGCCAAAAUACUUGUAAAAAUUUGUAAAACCUUUAAAAUACCUUGUAAAAUUUUCCCGUAAAAUUUUUUCCCGCCAAAAAAUUUUCCCGCCAAAAAUUUUUUUUUGCGGGAAAAGUGAUUCCGCAAAUUUUUUGGCGUUUAAUUUUUGGCGGGAAAAAUUUUCAAGGUAUUUUAAAAGGUUUUUACAGGGUAUUUAUAAGGUUUUACAAUGUAUUUUAAAAGGUUUUACAACGUAUUUAUAAAGUAUUUAUAAGAUUUUACAAGCUAUUUUAUAAGGUUUUACAAGUUAUAAGGUUUUACAAGUUUUUUAUAAGGUUUUACAAGUUAUAAAUACCUUAUAAAACCUUAUAAGUACCUUGUAAAACCUUUUAAAAUACAUUGUAAAACCUUACAAAACACUUGUAAAUACUCCGUAAAACUUUUUAAAUACCUUGUAAAUUUUUCCCGCCAAAAAAAUUUCGGAAUCACUUUUCCCGCAAAAAAAAAUUUUUGGCGGGAAAAAUUUUUACGGGAAAAUUUUACAAUGUAUUUUAAAGGUUUUUACAAGUGUUUUGGCAGGAAAAUUGCGGGAUCACUUUUCCCGCCAAAAAAUAUUUUGUAUUUUGUGGACCUAAUUUUGUUUCAAAUAAGGGUAAAAUGAUCAUUAAAAAUUAAAAGAGGGCAAACUUAAAAAUGGACUCUCAAAAGGGGCAUUUUUGAAAAGGGGUAUUGAAAAAGGGGCAUUUUUAACAAUUUCUCUAUUUUUUUUUUUAAUGUACUUCCCAAAUAAAAAAGUAUAGGAUGCGAGAGAAAAUAAAAAUUGGAAUAUAGUUCUUAACAGAAAAUGUUGAAAGACUUUUAAAGCACACUGUUUUACAAUUUUAGACAGAGACUGUAAAACAUGAAUUUGAAUAAUUAUAUUAAGUCCUCAUAAUUUGGGCACAAACGUAACGAACAAGCGUAAUGUUCUUUUGUACCGGUCAUGAAGAAGGGGAACCGGCAACGAACUCUACAAAAGGCGCAGAGAGGUCGAGUAGCACCAUUGUUAGGAUGUACAUCUAGUUCAUGUCCUACCUUCAUGUAAUAUAGAUCUCCAAGUACACAAUCAAUAUGGAGACUUAGCCCACACUCAUCGCAAGUAUAGUAGCAUACACUCGGAUCUGUCUUCGUCUCACAAAUAUCACACCACAAGUCACCGCUUGCGUUUCCCACACCUUGACAUAGUGACAGAAAAUGAUCAUCACACCUGUGUUUUACCUUUCUUGGUAAAGUAGCGCACCUCAUGCAUAAAGAGUACUCAUCACAAACCGUGCAAUUUAAGGGAUCAUCUUCUAUUUCUUUGUUACAUGCCUGACAUCUCAAGAUGAUAAGAUUAAGAACACAAGACUUUAAUAAAGUAUAACUCUCUUUAUUAAUAUUAGCUUAAGAAAAACUCUCUCAAAACUUAAGCUCUCAACCCAAUUCUUAAUCUCUCCAAACAACUCUCUUAAAAACUCACUUAAGUUAUGCAACACACUUGCAUCUCCUUAUAUAAGAAAACCUCUAAACAAUUUUCUUUUUCUCUUUAGUAUAACUUCCUAAUCUCUUAUUAGGAUAAUUUCCUUUCUUUGUUUUGGAAACUUCAAGCUUUCUUCAAGCUUAAGUCAACAAUCUCCUCCUUAAGCUUGAACUCUUCUUUCUUCGAAUCUUGAACACCAAUGAGAUCUCUCAUCUCUUUGAAUUUGAUCCUUCCAAGUGCCUUUGUGAGUAUGUCUGCCUUUUGCUCAGUCCCGGGAACAUGUUCGACCUCUAUUUGACCAUUUUCCACACAUUCUCUGAUGAAAUGAUAUCUUCUGUGUAUAUGCUUACUUCUACCAUGAAAUACAUGGUUCUUCGUCAAGGCAAUUGCAGACUGAUUGUCGAUUCUUAUCGUAACCUUCACACUUGCCUUUCCAAUGAUUUCACAGAGCAGAUCUUGUAACCAUAUGGCUUGCUUUGCAGCCUCAGUCCCAGCCAUAAACUCAGCUUCGCAUGAAGACAGAGCUACCACAUCUUGUUUCUGUGAGCACCACGUUAUUGGUCCUUCUCCUAAGUAAAAUAUGUGACCAGAAGUACUCUUACCAUCAUCCGGAUCAACAUUGUGGCUGCUGUCACUGUAUCCUAACAACUUUGGUAACUUUGCUCUUCCAAAACUUAAACCGAGACUUGUAGUUCCUUUUAGAUACCUCAAACAAUGCUUCAUUGCUGCUCCAUGCGAUUCUCGGGGACUUUGCAUGUAUCUGCUGAGAAUUCCAACACAGUAUGAUAGAUCUGGGCGUGUGUGGAGUAGGUAACGUAAGCAUCCAACAUUCUUUCUAAAACUUGUUGCAUCAAUCUCUGUCUCAUCCUCUGCUUUAGACAAUUUCAGCCCCAUCUCCAUUGGUGUAUGCGUCAAAUUGCAGUCUUUCAUUCCAGCUUCUUCAAGAAUCUUCUGAGCAUAGCGAGUUUGAUUUAAAGUUAUACCUUCCGGAUGUUGAUUCACCUCGAUUCCCAAAUAAUAUGUCAAUUUGCCAAGAUCACUCAUCUCAAACUUGGAUGACAUCUCUUUCUUGAACUCAAGAAUCGACUUUAGACUUGUUCCUGUAACAAACAGAUCAUCGACAUAAACUCCAAUAAUCAACAGGUGCUCACCAAUCUCCUUGCGAUACACUGAUGGUUCUUUUGAGCAUUUAACGAAUCUGAGCUCAUGUAGAUUUGUAUUCAAUUUGUUAUUCCAAGCUCUCGGGGCUUGACGCAAACCAUACAGAGCUUUAUUGAGCUUGUAAACUUUGUUUUCACUCCCACUCUUAUGAAAACCUUCAGGUUGCUGCACAUAAACAGUUUCUUUAAGUUCUCCAUGAAGAAAAGCUGUUUUAACAUCCAAAUGAUGGAUUUCCCAACCAUAUGCAGCAGCAAGAUCAAUUAAUAGUCUAAUUGUCACAAUUCUAGCCAUUGGGGCAAAAACUUCUUCAAAAUCCACACCAUAUUGUUGCACAUAACCUUUUGCAACUAGCCUUGCUUUGUGCUUGUUUAUGCUUCCAUCUGAGUUCCUCUUUAGUUUAAACACCCAUUUGAGUCCAAUUGGUUUUACUCCUCUUGGCAAGUCAACAAGAUUCCAUGUUUUCAACUUCUCAAUAGAUCCUAAUUCCUCUUCACACGCAUGUAUCCAUUCUUUGGACUCCUUUGCCUCGUCGAAAGUUCUUGGUUCAUUGUUUAAACACAAUAACAAUGCUUCUCCUUCCUCUUAUGCAAGGAGUACAUAAUCCUCAAGAUACUUUGGCAUAUGUUUUUCCCUUUCUGACAUUCUUAACACAAUUGGUGACGAAUUUGGUAUCAAAUCUUGCUCAGCAAUCUCGUUUUCUUCUUCUCUGUUCUCUGCAUCAUCUAGCAAAUCUCUGUUUUCUGCAGAUUGUUCUUCUUCCAUGCUUUCAUCAAGGCCAUGAUUUCCAAAACCAUCAGUCAUAACUCUAAAACUUCCACUGCUAUCUCUCAUGACAUCUUCUACCUUCCAGCUCCAUCCUUUAUUUUCAUCAAAAAUAACAUCUCUACUAACUGUGAUUUUCUUUGUAGUAGGAUUUAGUAGGCGAUAUGCCUUAGAUCCAGGCUCUGUUCCUAAAUGAACAAGAACACGUGUUCUGUCAUCUAACUUCUUCAAGUGUGGAGCUUCGAUCUUUGCAUAGCCAAUACAACCAAACACGCGGAUGUGAGCGAUGUUUGGUAUCUUGCCUCUAAACAUCUCAUAAGGUGUUUUGUCCUUAAGAGCCCUUGUUGACACUCGAUUAAUCACAUAUGUUGAGUGUCGUACUGCUUCACCCCACAGAUAAUUUGGCAUCUCCAUAUGCUUGAGCAUGCUUCUUGCCAUCUCCAUCAAAGUCCUGUUUCUCCUCUCCAUUACUCCGUUUUGUUGUGGGGUAUAAGGCGCUGUGAGAUGUCUCUUGAUGCCAUGGUUCUCGCAGAAAUUAUUGAACUCUGCAGAUACAAACUCUCCUCCUCUAUCCGUUCUGAGAGUUUGUAUCUUCUCCUCUGUUUCUUUUUCUACUAACAUCUUGAAGUUUUUGAAUUUCUGAAAUGCAUCUCCCUUCUCUCUCAGCAAAAUUGUCCACAUGUACCUUGAAAAAUCAUCAAUAAGAACAAAUAUAUAUCUGUUUCCAGCUCUUGUACUUGGAGUAAUUGGGCCACAAAGAUCACCGUGCACAAGCUCAAGUUUCUUUGUAGCACGGUAUGAGGUCGCCUGAGGGAAAACUCUUCGAGUUUGUUUUCCUAGUAAGCAUGAUCUGCACAAUUUCUUCUCAAGUGGUGUACUCGGAGCUCCAUCUACAAGCCUUUUACUAAUCAUGGAGUUUAGAGUGUCAAAGUUGACAUGACCCAUUCUUGCAUGCCACCUACUUGAAUCGUCUUGCUCUGUUAGAUACAAACAUGUAUCGUCUUUCAAUCCCAUUCUUACUUUAUACAGUCUAUUUGGAGACCUCUCGGUUCUGACAAGCAGUUUUCCAUCUCGAUCUUGCAUUGUUAGGUAUCCUUCUCGUAACCUAAUAUCACAUCCUGCUUCAGUGGCCUGUCCAAGACUAAUUAUAUUGCUUCUUAAACCAGGGAUGUAAUACACAUCCAUCAUCUUCCUUGAUUUCCCAUUCAGAUCUAUGAAAGCAAUCGUUCCUUUUCCCUUUAUAUCAAUGCGAGAAUCAUCUCCGAACCUCACCUUUCCUGUAAUUGUAGAGUCUAGUGUAUCAAAAUACCUCUUGUCUCCAGUCAUGUGAUUGCUAGCCCCAUUAUCCAAAUACCAGAUGUCUUGUUUAUCAGUGUUUGUCUCAAACUUGCUAGGCACACAGUGUUUUUCAUUUAGAAAAACAACUUCAUGAAUCAUGAGUUCAUCAGCCUCCGAUGUGUUCUUCUAUGUUUCUUGAGUCUCCUGCAGUUUUAGAAUUCUAUUCGGGCAAUGACUUGCAAAGUGACCUAACUUGUCACAUCUGAAACAUGUAACUUGGUAGAAAUCUAUGUUUCUUCCUCCAUAUCUCCCACGGCCUCUUCCUCGAUUGAAUCUGCCUCCUCUUCCUCUUCCUCUGUAGUUUCCACUGUAAUUUCCAUUGUAUUCUUGAUUAGAAGAGUGAGUAUUAGCAUACAUAAGUUUGCUUUGUUCUUCUUGAGGUUCAGUUGAAUCUUCUUCUUCUUUGAUUCUUUCUUCAUAAGCUUUAAGACGCCCAACGAUUUCUUCAAAGCUUGUUGUAUUAAGAUCGAGUACUUGUUCCAAAGAAGCCACAAUCUGAAUAUACUUUUGUCGAGGAAGACAUUUAAGGAACUUUCUAACCAGUUUUGGCCCUUCAAUAGUUGUUCCCAGAGCUGUAGACUUUGAAGAUAUCUCGGUUAUUCUCUUCACAAAUUCAUCAAUAGUCUCUGAAUCUUUCAUCUUUAAUCGGUCAAAAUUGGCCAUUAAAGUCUGCAGCCUAGCUUCUCUAACUCGUUCUGCUCCUACAUGCUUAGCUUUGAUGGAAUUCCAAACUUCUUUAGCUGUAUCAAGUUCUCCUACUUCAAGGACUUGAUCUUCUGGUAUUGAUUCAAACAAGAGUGCUAUGGCUAGAUCGUUCUUCUCUUCAUCGACCGCCUCUGCUUCAAUAGUUUCCCAAACUUUAUGAACCCUCAGUAUUCUCUUCAUUCUCAUUGCCCAAACUGUAUAGUUUGUAGCGUUUAGCAUCGGACAGGUGAUGGAGGAUGAGCCUCCUUUCUCUUUUGGAUUUGCCACGACGAUGGCAGUACUUUCUCCUUCUGACAUGAUUUCAAGCUCUGAUACCAAAUCAAGAUGAUAAGAUUAAGAACACAAGACUUUAAUAAAGUAUAACUCUCUUUAUUAAUAUUAACUUAAAAAAAACUCUCUCAAAACUUAAGCUCUCAACCCAAUUCUUAAUCUCUCCAAACAACUCUCUUAAAAACUCACUUAAGUUAUGCAACACACUUGCAUCUCCUUAUAUAAGAAAACCUCUAAACAAUUUUCUUUUCCUCUUUAGUAUAACUUCCUAAUCUCUUAUUAGGAUAAUUUCCUUUCUUUGUUUUGGAAACUUCAAGCUUUCUUCAAGCUUAAGUCAACAACAUCGUCUGGAACUUUGCAAGGUAAAGUAUAAGGGAUGUUGAUGCAGAUCAUGGUGAAACGGUUCCGAUACAGAACUACACCGAACAUCAUACUGAAUACUAUUAAUUUUGCAAUCUUCAUGAAGACACUCGUACAUGAAACCAUCAGUAUAGAUUUCACAAGCUCCACACUGAAGAUUACUAUCUUCAUUAAUAGGUGUCGGCAAUGAAAGAGUGAGUUUAUGGUUGUGCAAUAAAUGUCGCUUCUUCCGAGGAAGAUUAGCACAGGCUUCGUGAAGGAUGAAAUCACAUUCCACGCAUCGGUAGCAUGGAUCACCGUUGAUAGCAAGAAUGCAACACCGACAUCGCAUGUGAGCAUCAUCCGUAACAUAAUUCUCAUCCAAUCUGAGAACAUGCUCUUCAUGACUAAAAUGAACGAUAUCUCCAUUUUCAUUAAUUACCUUGAAUGGAUCUUCGAUUUCUUCUUCUUCUUCGGGAACAUCUUCGAGCUCUAACCCAUCCCACACUUCUUUUCUUGUUGCACAUCUUGAAUGAACGGCAUAACUAGGACAACGAGAGCAUUUAUAACCUCCAUAGACCCAAUUAAUCGUCUUCCGACAAACUCCACACUCCCAAUUAUCUCCUUCUCUUUCACCGAGAUGAAAAGUAUGAGAUAUGCGAUGGUCAUGACGAUUUAUGCUUAUGACUCGCGGUAGAUCCUCAAUACAAUCUUUGUGGACCAUCAGAUUGCAUUCAAGACAUACAUAAGGAUUGCGGUCGUCUUCCACACCACAAGCAUUACAAGUAAAGGUGACUAGCCUUAACAAGAGGGUGAGACUAUGCUUAUGGUGCUUUGGUUCAGAAAUUGUGAGUGGUGGCAAUGCAAGAAAACAGUUUUUAUCCACGUUUAUGUUGCAUAUCGUGCAACGAACAAAGAAAGACGUAAGCUUACUUUGACAAAAAUGACAAGAGUAGUCAUCUAUACGGUCAGAUGAUGUGGAAGUAUUAGGGAAGAUCUUGAGAUUGUGAUUGCACAGAAAUGGCUAGUUGAGGUAGAGAAGGUCAACGCAUUCUUUGUGCAACGUCAAGCCGCAAUCCGUACAGUGAUAGCCUAUGUGAGUGACUGUAUGUCUUUGCAAACUAGAGAUGUCAGGAAAAGAGCACAAAGAGCAAAAAGAAGGCCAUAGUUGAAAAGUAUAACUUGAUAAAGGAUGAUGAUGAAACGGAAACGUGAGUUUAGGCAUGGUGGCUACUUGGAAAUCAGUAGAAGACAUUUUUUAUGAUCAAAGAAGAAAGAGAAAGCAGAAGUUGAGUUAUAUAAUUUGUGUCCUGUGAACUCUCCUCAUCAUGUACUAGUACUUAUUAACUUCCGUGGAACUCAUAAAAUUCAUUUUUAGUUUAUUUUCUUUGUACCAAUUAAUGGUAAUUGGUCGGCCGACACUGCCAGCUAAUUGAAAUAUUAAAAAAUUUAAACAUACGCAAGUUUAUUACAAGUUGUAAAAAAUAUCUAUAUUCCAAAUGAAAUAAAUAGUACUUGUUUGAGUCUCUUGGCUACUCCCAUUAGCCUAUUGGACUUUCGGCAUAAAUUAUAUAUAUGAAAGGAGGCUAUCUUUCUCCAUAUGCUUGACAUGUCAGCACACGAGAGCUUGCCAUGUGUCAACAUAAAUUAAAAGCAAACUCACAAAGUCCUCUAGGUUAACCCUAACUAGCAAAACAAGUUUAACUAUCCGUUUGGCCUAGGGAAUAUGAAACAUCUUCCAUGUCUUUUAUUCUCUUCAUAUCACGAACGGUUUCAGCAUUUACGUAAGAGAUCUAGAGAGACUUAGAACAUGUCGAUGAAUAACAUAAUAAAGGAGAUGCAUCACCAAAAAAUAAGAGGGCAUCGAGAGUGAAACCGUAAAGAGUCGCUUCUUCCUCUCGGCGUAAACCAUGAAGAUAUGGUUUGGGCGUUACAAGUUACAACUUUAUCUUUCACUUCUAAAAGUGAAUCGAGAACACAAAACCCUUUGCUGGAUAAUCUUAAAAGGUUAGUUCUCCGACAAAAAGAUGAAUCCGUGAUAUGCACAGACGAAGGGGUCGCCACUGGUACAGAGGUUGCGAGACGUUAUCUCCCGCUCUGAUUUAAUCCAAAAUUUCCAAAGAGAGUCACCAGCCUAGAAUCUUCGAAAAUAGUUAGAGACUUGAUCUCCGCCGGGCAUGGAUGAAACUGACGACAACGAGGAGAAGAAGGACAUGUUAUCUUUUUUAUUUUCGAAUUGAUUAUCAUCUGUAUUAUUACCUCAUUCUACGACAUGUUGUCUUACCAGGAAAAUCUCUUGACGUUUCAAAUGUCAACGCUAAAAUCCAUAAGGCUGUGACAGAAGCUUGUCAAUUGAUUUCAUUCCUAGCUAUGUUCAUCCUGAGGACAUUAGCCAUGGCUCACCACAUGAUCGAAAAAUGCAGGUUUCUCUCUUUCUCAAAAUUUUAGGCACAAAGAUGAUGACUCGAGUUUAAAAAUGAUAAUCACGUGUACACAUGAUUUGACAUGUGUGAUCAUCAUUUGAUUUUUGCUCAGAUAGUUUUUUUUUUCCCUAUCUAUGGCUUCAAAAUUGUUUAUUAAGAAGUUCUGAUGAAAAUUGAUUCAAGAGUGGUUCUUUUUGUCUGAAUGAUAUGUUGUUGAGGAGAUGUUGGAAAAAAUAUGGUGACACUAAUAGUACUAUGUACGUUAAUUUCAAAUAUCUAAGUAAUCGAUUAACUGAUUUUUUUCUCUGUUGUAAUCGAUGUAUGUACUAUUAGUAGUGAGUCUUUAUUUUGUUCAUGAGAUUUUCAGUUCCUGUCAGAUUCUACCAUACAGAUUGAGCCAAAAAAAGAUGAACUAAAAGAAGAAAAAGAAUGGACUAAAGACAAAGCAACCUUGAACAUCAUACAUCUUUUGGUUCAGUAUAAAGCAAAACCCUUAUCUUGACUUGCAUUCAUCGUUCUAAAACAGAAAGACCUUGUGAAGCUAGCUAUAACAUCUUCCAAAUGCCUUCUUGGUUUAUUCAAACGUGAGGAGGUUCUUUAUGUUAAAGAAAACAAGAACAAUGUCGGAGGUAAUCUGAUUAAUAUAAUAUCAUAAUCCACCUUUUAAUUGUGGUUCGAUCAUUCGUUCGAAUAUAUGAAGCUACUAUAUAUGUGCGAUUGAAUAUAAUUUUUGGAAUAGGACCCACCCAAAGGCGAAUUUAAGAGCAAGACAAUUGAAACUGUUGUCAAAAAUUAAGAAGAGUCAUGAAAUAGUUUUAGUUAUGUGGAUUACAUUAUGUUUUUCUUUCUUUUUGUUGGCAUGGUAAUAUUUGAGAUGAUUUGAUUCUUUAGGAUUUGGGAACAAUCAGUCUAGGGAUAUUGUUUUUGUCACACCAAAACUCAACAUUCUAUUUAGUGGAAUACAUCAAGAGGAAUAAGAGCUUAAGUUUGAUUGAAUCUCGACAUCAAUAAAGGAGGUACUAAUAUAGAAAGUGUUUUAGGAAAGCUCAAGCCUGGAGACGUGAGGAUGGCGUCUACCAUAUAUGAUAUAUAUGUGUUUCUCCAAGCAAUGAGCCAUCUCAGAACAGUAAUAAUUGCUACAUGCAACAAACAAACAAGCGAAAAUGAAAAAUAAACGCAAGGACCUUGAUCUUUCAGAAAGAGUUCUAGAAGUGAAAACUAAAAGCACGAAACUUAGAGAAAGCUUGUUGGACAAAAAGGACGAGCCAAAGAAUGUUUAUGUAGCAAAUAGAAUGCUAGAGAAAUGGAGGUUUGUCAUUGGAAAAAAAUCGAUGAGUUACCAUAUGUGAAUGAAAGCAGGGUGGAUACCCAUAAAAAUCUACAGAGCAUUAUUCAAGAAGAUGGGGAGCUCAGAGUGAGGGAGACAUAUCUCAAUAAGAUUGAGCAGUUGUCAGAAAAAAUUGAGAUCUUGUACUAUAAAGCAUUGUUCAAGAAGUUGAGGAGCUCGGAGGAAGGGAACUCACUUGUUUGCAGACGAUUGAAAAGUUGUCAGUAGUGACCAAGAGAUUGGUUAAUAUUUCAGAGCAAUUAAUGAAAGUUAGGUGCUUACAAAAAGAAGUUUUAUAUCAAGAAGAUUAGGGAUUCUUUCACUAUCGAAUGAAAGAUAGUUGAGAAAAAAUCAAAACUGUAGAAUGUUGGUUUAGGAAAAUACAGAGUGAAAGAGGAAGGGAGUAGGCGAAAUAAAAAAGAGGAAGGGAGUCUUCUUAUUCUAAGAUUGGAAAGUUAUCAACAAGGAAAAUGAAAUCGUUUCUUAUUAAAAAUCAAACUCUAGAGUUAUAUUCAAGAAAAUGAAGAGCUAAAACGGAAGGUAUCUAUCUUAACUAUAUGAAAGGGUUAGCGAAGCUGCAAGAAAAUCUUCUUGAUAAAAAAAAUCCUAGAGAUAUGAAGACCAUAGAGCCAAAGAAAUGAGAAGCUUAAAUACGAAUAUAUUUAAUCACUUAAGAUUACGACAAGAAUUUUAGAAUGUUUCAUUCAAAUCUCUUUAUCUACCAAUUAAACAAGGAGGCAAAUAGUACGAUUAUUUUCACUUUCUAAACAAAAAAUAUUUGACUACAAAAAUCAAAGUUUUAGAAUUAGGUUUAGCUUCAAACAAAAUUGAGGAAUAGUUAUUUGUCUUUCAUCUUUGGUAUUCUUCGCCGCAUUUUUUUUUCGAUGAAUAUAUGAUUUUUUAUCAUGUGAAAAUUAAAGUAACAAAGAAAGUAAAUGGUAAACAAACCCGCGCGUAGCGCGGUUAUUCACCUAGUAUUAACUAAUGAUCGCUAUCUGCCAACUACUCCUGUAAAGAUUCUUGACAAUUUGAUAGAUAAUUUAUUAGUUGAACAAAUGGGUGGGUUUAAAUAUGCAUAUAAAUUAUUGAAACCAUGAUAUGUGGUAACAAAACAGCUGUAAAAUAAUGAUACACUGUAAAAUAAUGAUACACUAAGAGCAAACACAGUGGAGCAAUAGAUGUUCGGGUGUUAGUUAUAAAUAAUUGAGAAAUAUUGCAAAAGUUACAUUUUCAACAAAAUCCGGAUGUGUAGACUUACACUCAAGUGUGAGUCAUUAUAAAAAUAGAAAAAAAUUUCUUCUCUCUAUCUCUUUAUCUCUUUCUUUUCUCUCUUUCUCUUUUAAUUAUAAUAAUAAAUAAUUACUUACAUCCACAAUUACACAUUUGCCAAUGUGAAUGCCCUAAUAAUAUAUGACCCUGAUCACUUGUUACGAUAAAGCCAACGUGGUAACAUGUAUCAUCGGGUCCACCACUUCAUAUUACCAAAAGUCGUCGCCUUCUUUGGAAUUUGUAAAUUAAAAAAAUAACAAAUUAGAAACUAGAUAUAUACACUAUUAUCUUGACAUUUUCAACCUACCAACAAAUCUCCCUUGCUAACUCUGCUUUGCCUUUUUCUUUUCAUAUUGUAAACAUUUUGAUUUUUGAGUAGGGAAGAUUUGACUCUCAAAUAUCACUAAAACCCCAACUCUCUCUCUUUAGUGAUUUUCAAAAGUUUCUACGUGCUUUUGCAACUUUCCACAAACACAACGUUAACUAACGGUUGUGGUUAAAUACGAUUGACACCAAUCAUAAAUAAUCGUUACGUGUCGCUUCAUAAUGUUUAUAAACACAUAGAAAUUAUUAAAAUGAACUCAUGACUUUACAAGUUCAAUUAAAUUCUUUUCAAACUUAUCAAUAUAACCAUCUGCAAAACCAGAGUCAGUCAAAACACAUCUCCACUUCUCAUGAUUCUUCCUCACUUUAUCACUGACCUCACUACCUUCCUCCAUCACACUCUUCACCGCAUUCUCCAAGCUCCGCUGCGAGAACCACCCAUUCUCUUCCCUCUCCACUUCAACCGCCACCUCCAUCUCCUCUGUCAUCAGCCUCGCGUUCAAAAUCUGUUCUCCGUGCUGUGGAACCAGAACUAUCUGACAAUUACUCAUCAAAGACUCCCACAUCGACCCAAACCCGCAAUGGCUAACGAAACAUCCCACUGAAGGAUGGUUCAACACCAACGGUUGCUGAAUCCAACCGCCGUACACAACGCCACGUCCUUGAACCCUCUCUUUGAAUCCUUCCGGUAACGCUUCCUCGACGGUUGAUACACCCGAAGGAGGCUUAAUAGCCACCAGAAACGGGAAACCGGUAGAUUCUAGCCCUAAACAGAGUUCUUGAAACUGAUCUAUCUUGUCUACAACGGGUUGGCUACCGAAAGCACAGAACACAACUGAACCGGGGUUGAAUUUGGCUAGCCACUCUGCCCAUUGAGGCUCUAAGGAGGGCUGAUUAGGUUGGGAUCCAGGGAGAACCGGUCCGGUUAGGUAAACCGGUUUGCUGUACUGGCUACUGAUGUAAUCGCAGAAUUUGCCUUCUGUCUCACGGCAAGUCCUUAUAGCGAUUGCGUCAGAGUUUCUCAUAGCGGUAACUUUCCCGUCAAAGAAAGAAGCAAUACCCUCGUGCUUCCUCCACACGAAGGUUAGGGCUUUUGCUUCGUGCGCACGCAAGACGACUUUCGAAGAAGGGUAACCUAGAGGCGUCUUAGCUAACUCCUCCCCUGACAUUUCCUUCCCAUCAAUGACCUCUCGCUCGGCUGCAGGUACAAGAGACAGUGCGAUUGACGCAGCGCUCACAAUGUUGAAGCAAACGGUUUUUGCACCCACCGGUUUAGCAAUUUCCGGUAUCCAAUGGGCAGAAUCAUAGAAAACCAAGUCCGGUUUGAUUGUACGGAAAAUUGUCUCAACCUCUGGGCGGGUUUGGUCCAUUGCAAUUGCAAGCAAAUGAGUCAAGAAGAAGGGGACGUCGGAGUUUGUUUCUGCACCGGGAGGGAGCCCUUUGACCUGAGGGAUUGAGAUGGUGCGAAAAGUGAUGAGAUUUGGGUAGAGAUUAAGAGGUUCGAGCUGGUUUAGUGCUUUCUUGGGAAGCAAGAAAACAAUCUUGUGACCUUUCUCUGCGAGCUUGUUUGAUAGGUGAAGAAAAGGAGUCAUGUGACCAAAGGCUAACCACGGAUACAUAACAAUGGUCAUGCUUGAGGAACCAUUUGAUCCAAAAUCACCCAUUUUUUUGGCUCUGUCUUGCACUUUCUUCAACUACCGGAAGAUUUGUUAGAGUUUUUAUUUUUGUUUCAUAUCUGAGUUAUGUGUUUUAAGUGUGUAUAUAUGUACAUAAACCCAUUAACGGAUUGGUGAGUGUCGUGAUGAAUGGUGUAUUGGGUAACCAAAUGACCGGGAAAGUGUAACCUCCUGGUAAGUGCAAACACGUGAUGGUGUCGUAACAUCAACAAAAAGACAAAACCAGACUUCAUGUGGUCAGUCAUGGGCCUGAAAGAUUCGGCCCACUUUUUAAACAAAUUGAAGGUCGUUAGUUCGUUACUUAUUAAUCCCACAGUCAACGUUUGUAUGUUUUAAUUCAAAGGUUGUUUACGAACGAUUGUCAAAGUGGUAACUCUCUGAAUUAAUUUAACGUUUCUUUCGUUUUAUUACAAUAUAAUUUUUUUUGUUUAUAUGGUUACCUAGUUGUGUUACUUUAUGUGCUACUACUGUAGUGAAGCCAGGGCUAGCUCAACUCCCUACCAUUCCUGGGUUUUUUCCACCCGGCUCCCAAGUUGAUCUCGCAAAAUGUUGGUCAUCGCUCAUCACAUUCAAGGUUGCGAAGUCGAAAUCUUUAAAUCUGUUUUAACCGGUAAGAUUGAAAACGUUGGACCAACAUGCUGCAAGGCGUUUACGAAAGUGGAUGCAAACUGUUGGCCAAAAAUGUUUUCGUUGAAUCCGUUAUUCCCUCCUCUUCUCAAGGAUGGUUGCUCUCGCAUCAUCGCAGGUGCACCCGCUGCACACACGACACCUCAGUUCCCUGUCAUCUCUGGGUUCUCUCUUCUUGGUUCAGGCCCGGCCCGCCCAUAAAGCAGCCAAAGCUUUUGCUUUAGGCCACAUAAUAUAAAUAAGAUUUUAGAGCUGUAUGUCCAAUUUGUUUGCUGUGGUCAAGUUGGAUGUGUAUUAUUUCAAUGACUCACUUUUCGUCAGUUCGAGUCUUUCAAUAUAUACGUUUCUCUUGUUUUUUUUUUUUCUCUUUUCUAUUUCCUUUUGACUUUUUACAUGUCUUUCUUUUUCCUCUUUUACGUGUCUUUCCUUUUUGUUUUGUAGAGUAGGAGAAAAUUGUUUUUUAUUUAUUUAUUAAUUUAUGUUUAGUUGUUUUUUUAGCAACCAAAUCUCCAAAUAUUCUAUUUAACUUGGCUAGUAGCCUAGUAGGUGUUAUGAUAUUCUUAACUUUCGCUAACAAAUCUGAAUUUUAAAAAUUUAAUGACUUUUUCUAAUGCAUUUUUUCAAACAUAUUUUGAUAAUUUUUUAACAUUAAUUUUUAUAUCAAAAAUUAUAUUUUAAAUAUGCUUUAGGCCACCAAAAUCCUAAGACCGGCCCUGUCUUGGUUCUCCGGUCGAUCUCACAAAAUGUUUGUCAAUUGUCAUCACUUGUAAACGCUCAAGGUUACAUAACUGAAAUCUUAAAUCUACAAAUCAGUUUUCACAGGAAAGUUUGGUAAUGUCAGGGCCGGCCCGCAGGACAGGCCACCCAAGCGGUGGCUUGGGGCACCACAAUUUUUUUUUUUUAUAAGGUUUUUUUUUUUUUGGGUAAAAAGGUCCAUAAAAUGAAAAUAUUUGGUAAAAACUAAAGUCUUUUUCGAAAAAAAUAAAUAAAAUAGGGCCCAAACAAUUAAAUUUGAAUGUAAUAAUAUUCAAAAUAUCAUUAUUUUUGUAUAAUUUAUUAAAAAUAGGUCAAAAAAAAUUUUAGCCCUAAAACUUAUAAAUAUAUUGGGCUUCAUUUUAUUUUUCGUGUAGGGCCUCACAAAUGUUCGGACGGGCACUGUGUUAGACCAAUGUGUUUCAAGGCGUUGUCGGCAAUGGAUGCAAAAUGUUGACAACAAAUGUUUCCGCUAAAUCCGUUAUUUCCUCCUGUUCUCAAAAAUGAAUGUUCUCGCAUCAACAUAGCCGCUCCUACACAAGUGAAGUAGCUAUGGCCUAUGGGACCAUCAUUCAGAAUGUUUUAAAUUAGGCAAUUAAAUUCAUGAAUUUCCCUAUUUCAGAUGUUGGCUUGUUGGUUUGUUCUAGGUUUUAGUAUCUACAAUAAUAUUAAAAAAUUCAAGUUUCUAGCUUAAUCUCACAACUAUCAUCUAUAUAUAUAUACAUAGCUUGUUUAGAUAUUAGCUUGUUUUAAAACCGGAGAUUUCCAUCUACGUCCAAACCGAAUGGUUAUCUGGUUUUUAACCGCCGGUUAUUAUCUAUCGGUUAGGACUCGGUUCGAGUCGCUUCCUCUCCUCUGUCUGUGCGACUGAAUCGUCGUCUUCAUUAGUAGCUCGAGCCGAUUGAUCACUUGUCGAUGGGAACGGAGUUUCAACAGAUUGCGCCAUGGAAUGAGAGCUUCUAGCUUCGAAAGGCCCUUUCUUUCAAUGAACCCAGGUGCUUAAAAUUCUUAAUUUCAUCCCUUUUUCGAACGAUUGAGUUCUUUACCAAUGACUCAUCUUCAUCCUUUUGUAAAACAUAAUCUAGGGGUAUAUGAUUAGUGUCAAUGGAGCAAUAGUCAAGUCACAAGACGUACGAAAUGUAAGUUGAUCUCGUCGUAUAUGACCUUUUCUUUAGUUUUCCCACUCAAACUUUAUUGUAAAGUAUGUGAAAAUUAUUCAAAUUAUACACAAGUCACAAUUUGUUCAAAGAUUUUGUUAUACCAUUUCUUUUGUCUGGCAGAUUAAGCAAGGUUUUUUUUUAAAAAACACAACUUUCUUGUUUCAAGGACUUGGUGUCUUAUUAUAAUAUAUAACAAUUCCGUUCUGUUGAAUGGACCCUUUAUUUGUUGACUUUGUAGCUAUAUUGAGUUUCCAUUUUGAAUGACUUGUGGUUAAAUUCUUGAACUGAUUAUGUGUUGAUCAGGACCAUUUUUGCUCUGCUCUCUUGUUUUUUGUAAAAUCUUUCUUCUUUCUCUUUUUAUGGGCAACUCAAUCUUUUUACUUUCAUUGAUAUUUGGUCUCCCUUUCAUUGUUGAUUCAGUUAACUUUAAGUGUACUAGUUUUCGUCCAGGUGAUCCUGAGAAUGUGGUUUACCACGGGGAUGCAAUGCCCGAUGGUGCGGUAAACUUCAACAACGUAGAGUAUAUAGCUCGUGUUGGUUGGGUUACUUAUGCUGAGAAAGUGCCUCUAUGGAAUCCUAAAACUGGUAAGUCUACGGAUUUUAAUACCAGUUUUUCUUUCAGAAUUGAUACCCGUAACCUUUCGAAUUACGGUCAUGGGAUCUGCUUUUUUCUUGCUCCUGUUGGAACUCAACUCCCUGUGAACUCAGCUGGUGGUUUCUUGGGUCUUUUUACUCGAAUCGAAGAUCACAUAUCUUCGUUUCCGCUUGUUCAUAUUGAGUUUGACUCAUUCAGUAACAAAGAAUGGGAUCCUACAACUGUUGGAUCUCAUGUGGGAAUCAAUAAUAACUCGCUUGUUUCGUCUAACUACACCUCUUGGAAUGCAAGCUCACACAGCCAAGAUAUUGGUCAUGCAAAGAUCUCAUAUAACUCUGUUACUAAGAACUUGAGUGUGUCUUGGGCUUAUGAAUUAACGUCUGAUCCUCUGGAGAGUGUAGGCAUUUCUUAUAUCAUUGAUCUUGCAAAGGUUUUGCCACCAGAUGUUACGGUCGGGUUUUCAGCCGCUACUGGAUCAAACAUAGAGGGACAUAGACUUUUAUCAUGGGAGUUCAGCUCAAGUUUGGAUAGUGAGAAAGCCUCUAUCAGGAAAGGACUGAUAGUUGGCAUUUCGGUUUCUGGGUUUGUUUUUCUGUUCUCUUUGGUCACAAUUGUGGUUGUCUUGUUGCAGAAGCAUAGAAAAAGAAAAGCAAAAGAGAUAAAAGAUUUGGUAUCGUUAAACGAAGACCUUGAACGGGAUGCAGGACCACGGAGGUUUGUUUAUAAGGAUCUUGUUAUAGCAACCAACAAAUUCUCAGCCCAGAGGAAGCUGGGUGAAGGAGGGUUUGGAGCCGUUUAUAGAGGUUACUUGAACGAAAUGGAUAUGAUGGUUGCAGUGAAGAAAUUGUCUGGUGGUUCCAAGCAGGGAAAGAAAGAGUUUGUAACCGAAGUUAAGAUCAUUAGCAAACUGCGACAUCGAAACCUGGUGCAACUCAUUGGUUGGUGUAAUGAAAAAAAUGAGUAUUUACUGAUAUAUGAGUUCAUGCCGAAUGGUAGCUUGGACACUCACCUCUUUGGGAAAAGACCCCAUCUCUCCUGGGACAUACGAUACAAGAUAGCGCUCGGUCUAUCCUCUGCGCUUCUAUAUCUUCAUGAGGAAGGAGAUCGGUGUGUAUUGCAUAGGGACAUCAAGGCAAGCAAUAUCAUGUUGGACAUCAAUUUCAAUGUAAAAGUAGGUGACUUUGGACUGGCUCGAUUGAUGGACCAUGGACUAGGUUCCCAUACAACAGGGAUAGCAGGAACUUUUGGGUACAUGGCUCCAGAAUACGUGAUUGAUGGAAGGGCAAGCAAGGAAUCCGACAUCUAUAGCUUUGGAAUUGGUAUACUAGAGAUUGUCACAGGGAAAAAGUCGGUCGAUCUUUCACAAGAAAACACUGAGACUGAGGCUGAGACGAGUCUUGUGGAGAGAGUGUGGGAUUUGUAUGGAAGACAAGAACUUAUGUCAGCCAUUGACAAGAAACUCGGUGAGGAUUUCGAUAAGAAACAAGCCGAGUGUUUACUGGUUGUGGGGUUAUGGUGUGGUCAUCCUGAUAGAAACUCAAGGCCUUCUAUAAGACAAGCGAUCCAAGUACUGAACUUGGAGUCACCAUUGCCUCAGCUUCCUCCGAAGAUGCCCUCUGCUACGUUUCACAUCUCACCUUCUUCUUCUCUCUUGCUUAGCUCAAACAGAGUUUCAGUCAUUCAAGUUAGUCGGGAGCAGAUGAUGAGAGAUGAGGAAGAUCUUGGUGGCCUUUGCGGUUCAGAAACUUGAGUGUAAUCCUAACUUACAUAAUUGCCAAAGAUCUUUGUCUGUGUGUGUAUGUGUACUAUGUGGUUUUGGUUUUGCAUGAUUUCUAUUAUUUGAAUAGGAGGAUUUACCUUUGCCUCCUCCUUCCGUUUACUUUUGAUAGUUUAUCUUUGCCUCUGCCUGUUAUUUUUUUUUUUAAUCAAAGUAUUUGCUCUGUUUUUGAGAUAUUUUUCAAGGAAACAACCAGGCCAGACAUUCCGUUAACUCUUCGGUUUCAGUUCGGUUGUGUUCGGUUUCAGUUAGUUUGGAUAUGGUAAUAUAAUAACUAUCCGGAUACUUGAGAAAUUUCAGUUCGGAUUGGUUUGGUUUCUUUUCUUUCGAUUCGGUUCGGAUAGUUGAAUAGAUAAACAUAACUAACUGAAAUUUUAUCGAGUUCUGUUUGCUUCGGUUUCUUUUUAAUCCAAAAUAACCCGAAAUUAACAAAAUUAAACCGAAAAAAUACAAAAAGAAAUACAAAAAGGGAAAAAUUAGUAAGAAAAUUAAAAUUUAGAUCGAUUUUGCAAAAGAGUAUUUAACUUUGAUAAAUAUAACUAAUAAUAUUUGGAUAUAUUGAUUAUUUAAAGUAUUUGAUUGCUUUGAGUCUAAAAAUAAUUAACAUUUUUGAGUUUAUAAUUAUCGUUUUGGAUAUUAUUUUUGGAUAUAUUCUAGGUGUUUGAAUAUUUUGGUUAACCGUUUGGUUAUUAGCUCGGUUCGGUUCGGUCGGUUACUCGGUUACCGGUUCGGAUACGGUUUGGUUCUAUUGAAAUUCAAGAUAAUCCAAUUAAAUUAGAAAAGAUAGAAAAAAAUAGGGCCAAAAAAAACCCAUGUUUUAUUGAAAUUCAAGAUGCAAAAAAAAAACCCAACACUUAACUAGAAUAUGAAAUCCAAAACAUAAAUAGAAAAAAAACGCAAAAGAAGAUCGAAGCAAGCGAACUAGACGGGAAUCAUUAAGGGAAGUAAUGAAUAUUGAAAAUUCAGAACAACGAAUUUGUUUUCCCACUGAUUCCAGUAGAGUUUCAGAACAUGGCCUUCUCCGACAUCUAACGAAUGCUUCAUAGUACUCCAACCAGACCCGAAAUAAUAUUUAGGCUUGUCGAUACCUGAAAGUUUUAGAGUUACUGUGUAUAAAUCGUCUUCCAGUAAGUCGUGGACUUGCACUUCAACACCGUUUUCCAAAUCUUGAUCGUUAACAUUCAUCCUCGUGAGGACAGACAUCACUUCUGCUUUUGGUAAUACUACAUUACCAACAACAUCACUCUUUGUUAGCACUUUCGUUAUGAUCAUAGCCGGAUCUAAUGGAUCGUUAUAAUUCAUCUUGCUAAAUUUUUAAGAAAAAAAAUGCUUUUAGAAGUAGAAGAAUAUUUGCAUAUUUUUUUGCACUCUAUUCAAACAUAUAUAUAGGAGAGUACUUAGCCUAAAAAGAAAGGAAAAUUACAAAAGAAAACAAAAAAAAAUUGGAACUCUUCCUUUAACAAAUUGGAAAAUUGUCUAAAUAUCUAGCAUUUCCUUAAUAUGUCAAUGGAAAGAAAACUUUUUGCAAAUUACUGAUUUAGAAAUUUUUCAUUUUGUAAAUUGAGAAAAAAGUUUUGUGCAAAUUAUUGAUUUAGAUUCAUUUCCAUUUUGUAACUUGGGAAGAAAGCUUUAUGCAAUUUCCAUGUUCAUUCUCAUCUCUUUCGAGGUUUUCAACCAAUACAUUGGCCCAAACUAAUAUAGUAUUUACAAUAGCAUUUUACAAGCCCAAAGUAAUCAAACUCAAUAAAAAGUAUAACAAAAUCUGAAAUUUAAUUUUAAUAGUUGCUAAGCUUGUUGUAGGAGAUCAUUGGGCGUGGUAUUCGAAUUGGUGGCUUAUAGUAUCUAGACCAUGUUCAUACGAGUCGUGCAAAUCUUGCAAAAGGACCCAUAUGGUUGUGGCAUCGUCAGUUAGGUAGCCCAAAAGCUACAUUUUAGUUAUAACCUUUGCUGUUGUAUAGUAUAAAAUAGGAUAAAUGUUACAGCUUUUAGUCCUUUGAAUACAUCUUAUUUACUACAAUGUUAACCGUCAACAUAGUAUAAAGUCUAUUCCAAAGGUUGUUGACAUAACGGACGAAUCUUAAAAUGUAAUUAACUCUUGUAAUAAAUAAUAAUGACUAUUAACGUAUACGUUUAAUUUGAGUUCCUCUAUAAAUUGUUUGUUUCUUUUGAUAACCAAAACCAUGACAAUCAAACAAUUCACUCUUAAAAUAAGGAGACGAUAAGUGCAAUGGAAGGUAGGAUCCAAGUGCUUCUCUCGCUGUUGAAGUCGGGGCUAGCCGAGGUCUAGACCAUACCAUAAUUACAACAUUCCAUUCUUGGUUCUUUAGUUGAUUCUCGCAAAAAUGUGUGUAUAUGAAAUAGGAAGUUAGGGAGACCAUGGAAGGUAAAGUCGACCGAUGCAAUAUGGCGGCAAUGUGAGCAUAGUCGAAUUUCACCAGCCAUGGUAUCUCUUCUCCCUUUUUCAUCUUCCCACCGGAUUCACUCAAGGCUCAUCGCUUAUUCCAUUAUCCUCUAUGUAACAUGCCGCGUCUUCAGCUGCGGCCAUAACCAAUGCUAAGCCACUAUAACAGGUUUGUUGUUGAUCUCUUCAUCGACAUUAACGCUCUUUAUAUAUUCCUUAAAACUCUCGAUUGCAUUUCGAGUAAUGGUUAAUUUUCUAGUGCGUUUAAACAUUGACGUUACAAUAUAAACUUCUAGUUUUAAUAUUCACAAGCAUGGCUGGUUAUUUCAAUUCACAUAUACUGUUUUAUCAUACAUCUACAAUACUAUGAAUUUUAUUAUCAUAUAGAAAUAACGUAGCUCUCAUCACAGCCCUGUAACUCUAGUUAACCUAUAAGCAUUUUAACUGAUGUAUACUUUCCCCUAGCGACACUUGUCAUCAUGCAUGAAAUAAAACUUAAUGGCUCGGUUAUCACCGAUUCAUCUUGACCGACCACAAAGAUCCAACGGCUAGCUAGAGACGCGAUUAUACAAGUGUUCUUAACUUGUUAUAUUCUUACAUAAACGGCCAAAAAGUUUCAGAAAAAUAGAAACGGCGUAGGAAGCUACUAUGACGGCGAUUCCAAAUGUUAUCGAUAUUGAAUCUUCGUCUUCGCUUUGUCAAGAGACGGUGUCUCCGUCAGUUGUUGAGACUGCGAAGCUAGACCACGUCGUGUCACUAAUCAAGGAAGAGGAGGAUGACGUCGUUUCACUUGGUUUUUGGAAAUUGCACGAGAUAGGUUUAAUUACACCGUUCUUGAGAAAGACGUUUGAGAUAGUUGAGGACACAGUAACAGACCCGGUUGUAUCAUGGAGCCUGACCCGUAAAAGCUUUAUCAUUUGGGAUUCUUACGACUUCUCGGAGAAUCUUCUUCCUAAAUACUUCAAGCACAAGAACUUCUCCAGUUUCCUCCGCCAGCUUAACUCCUAUGUAAGCACACAAAACGAGUUUUUACUUUUUAGCUAUGUUUCUUGUUUUACAGGCUUUGUAAAAACUAGGGUUUUUUGUAGGGUUUUAAAAAGGUUGAUUCAGAUAGGUGGGAAUUUGCUAACGAAGGGUUUCAAGGAGGGAAGAAAUAUUUGCUUAAGAACAUCAAGAGGAGAAGCAAAAGUACUAAAUGUAACAAGGAAGCGAGCACCACUACCACCACCACCACAGAGACAGAGGUUGAGUUAUUGAAGGAGGAACAGAGUCCAAUGAGAUCGGAGAUGUUGAAGUUGAAACAACAACAGGAAGAAUCUCAACAUCAGAUGGUCACUGUGCAGGAGAAGAUCCACGGAGUUGAAUCCGAACAACAACAUAUGCUUAGUUUCUUUGCAAAGUUGGUUAAAGAUCAAAGAUUUGUGGAGAGGCUGUUGAAAAAGAGGAAGAUGAAACAACAGAGAGAGCUCCAAGCAGCUGAAUUCGUGAAGAAGCUCAAGUUGCUUCAGGAUCAAGAAACUCAAAACAACUUGCUAGAUGUAGAAAACCAUCUGGUCAUUAGAGAAUUUAUGGCCAUGGCUGCAACACAACACAAUCCCAAGCCUGAUAUUUUGAUGAACAAUGAAAGCGGGAAUAGGAGAUGUCAGCUUAACACAGAGGACCUACUUGUUGACGGUGGUUCGAUGGAAGCAAAACACGUAACAUAGCAUUAGAGAAGAUACACAAUACCAUGCUUUAUCCGAAUAUGUACCUUAUGUUGUAUGGUUUUAUGUCUAUACAAAAAAGGGACUUGUACAGAGUCGUCUAGAUUACUGUAGCUCUGGUAAAAAGGGACUUGUAAAAAGUGUAGAUCUGGUUUACUGUCUUUGAUAGCUCUCAUUUAUUAUAUUUCAUGAUACAUGUAUAUCAGAAACAUAUCUUCCAUUACUAAUAAACUUUUUAACUAGUGAGUAGUGUGACUAGUGUCUAGUGAUCUUGUUUGUAAUCCUAACUCACAUAGUUGUCAAAGAUAUUUGUGUGUGUGGGUGUAGCAAGUGAACCAUGUGUGUCUGGUUUUGGUUUUCAUUUAAAAGUUCUUUAUUCAAUUUGAUUGAUAACUACACUUGUGUUAUGUAGCAAGAAAAUAAAGUAAAGAGUGAAAAUAGAAGAAAUAAAAAGUUCAGCAAGGGUGAAAGCAAGAAAAUAAAGUAAAGAGUGAAAAUAGAAGAAAUAAAAAGUUCAGCAAGGGUGAAAAAAAGGAACCUGUCAGACCGCCGUGCAACCACCCCGGCAAGGUAGAACCGAGCCGAGUAACGAUCCUCUACAGUACCGGAUGCGUCUAAAGACGAUCGUAGCCGUCAAUCACGCUCUAGUCGCACGGUCAUGGUUCAUCAACCAGGGUUAAGGGCCUGUCUCUUGAGAAAUCAAGGAAACAGAGGUACGAGCCUAUAGAACAGAUCCUGUUCAAGUAAGGUCGUGACCA